AGUCGAAGUGACCCACCAAUGUUGUCCUACAGGGGAGAGCGUUAAACCACCAUAAGGUGCUUUGGUAAAGAGCCAGGGUAUUGAGCGUUAUGGAAAAGGCUAUGCCGUGAGCUGGUCAGGU
RNAcentral lists this non-coding RNA (121 nucleotides) under Leeuwenhoekiella polynyae. Lineage: Bacteria; Pseudomonadati; Bacteroidota; Flavobacteriia; Flavobacteriales; Flavobacteriaceae. The record is from RNAcentral.